ACGACUGAGAAGGAUGGCGGCUCUGGGUGUGUCAUAUAUGGCCUUUUAAAUGUUGAGGUACGUUCCCUCUGGGCUCACGUUCUGAAGGGUUUUUAUCAGAAAGAGGUGUUGGAUUUUGUCAAAGGCUUUUUCUGCACCUGUUGAGAGAGGAUGCACCUUGUUCACGACAAGAGCACAGCCACAAACCCCACAACUCUCUUCCCAGCAUGGCUCACACCUCCGGAAUCUGCCCCGACCUGGUAGGUCCACCAUGACCUUCUCUGGUCUCGGCUCUUACAUUCACGAUCCAUACUGCUAGGAAGCCCAAAGACACAGAGGAUCCCAGGGCAACAGAGUUCCUGUGCUGGCUCAGGGGGGUAAGAACCUGACAUAGGGGCCAUGAGGAGAUGGGUUCCGUCAUUGGCCUGACUCAAUGGGUUAAGCACCCUGCAUUUCUCUGAGCUGUGGUGUAGGUUGCAGAUGAGGCUCGGAUGCGGUGUGCCUCCGUUUGUACUGUAGACUGGCAACUGCUUUUCUGAUUCGACCCCUGGACUGGCAACUUCCAUGAGCAGAAGUUAUUCAUAAGAUGAAAAAAAAAAAAAAAAAAAAAAAAAACAAAGAAACAACAACAAAAAUGACUACCAGGCUCUCUUCCAGGAGGAGGUAAGGAUUAUUGUUUAGGAGUAUUUGUCUUGGUGUUUGGGCUCAGGGGAUCUGAGCGUGUGGCACAGAGGCAGGGCUCCACACAGAUCCCUCCAUAGGCCCCCACAUGUCCCAGCAUGCCUUGCAGGCCACCCAGGCAGUGCUGGUGCAGGGUCACCGGUGCAAAGGGGAAGGGAGUGCUGAUCCCACGGUGUUACAGGGAGAACCAAGAAGUGUCAACCCAGCGACAAGAGUUUCCCUGAGGUUCAGCCGGCUCUCGGCCGCCACUUAGGUGGAUCCGGCUUUGCACAGAUGAGCUCCUCCUGGCUGAACUGCUUUCUGCCCCUCAUGGCUCCUUUCUCCGUGGAGGUCUCUUGCACGUGCUGUCUUCUCUUCCUCUCCAAUACUCCCCCAAACCCCUUCCUUUGGGAGCCGUCCUCAGUGCACAGAGAAGGUCAAGGGGCCAUCAUCCCACAGACCACCAGGCACUGGAGUCAACACCACCUGGGACGUCCCAUUCCGUCCCCCCAUCCAACCCCACAGAGGGCGCCUUUCUGACAGCCCAGCAGAGGGGGGCGGGGUUCAAAGAUGUGG
Molecule: long non-coding RNA, 1215 nt
Filed under: Sus scrofa (pig)
Lineage: Eukaryota; Metazoa; Chordata; Mammalia; Artiodactyla; Suidae
Description: lncRNA (ENSSSCG00070015249.1)
Source: RNAcentral